UACUCGACUCGCUCGGUAUGAAGUACUUGGUUCUCCUGGCUAGAUAAGCUUGUCCGGGGAUAUCCUAAGCGUGCAUACCAUUGUUAACGUGAAAGCGUGAAAAAGAUGUCGAAUAUAUCAUGCGCUAUGCAAUGAGCUCACAGCAACAUCAAUUGUAAAUGAACUUUGAUCAUGACUUGAUGAUGUUUUUGAAACAAUAAAAAUGUAAAAAAUGUA
This is a long non-coding RNA of Monomorium pharaonis (pharaoh ant), 216 nucleotides long. RefSeq lists it as uncharacterized. The transcript has 2 exons. NCBI's taxonomy places the organism in Eukaryota, Metazoa, Arthropoda, Insecta, Hymenoptera, Formicidae. The record is from RefSeq and is a predicted model, not a curated record.